Molecule: ribosomal RNA, 460 nt
Filed under: uncultured bacterium
Lineage: Bacteria
Description: partial 16S ribosomal RNA
Rfam family: Bacterial small subunit ribosomal RNA
Source: RNAcentral
CCUACGGGAGGCUGCAGUGAGGAAUAUUGGUCAAUGGACGAGAGUCUGAACCAGCCAAGUAGCGUGAAGGAUGACUGCCCUAUGGGUUGUAAACUUCUUUUAUAUGGGAAUAAAAUGUUCCACGUGUGGGAUUUUGUAUGUACCAUAUGAAUAAGGAUCGGCUAACUCCGUGCCAGCAGCCGCGGUAAUACGGAGGAUCCGAGCGUUAUCCGGAUUUAUUGGGUUUAAAGGGAGCGUAGGUGGAUUGUUAAGUCAGUUGUGAAAGUUUGCGGCUCAACCGUAAAAUUGCAGUUCAAACUGGCAGUCUUGAGUACAGUAGAGGUGGGCGGAAUGCGUGGUGUAGCGGUGAAAUGCUUAGAUAUCACGAAGAACUCCGAUUGCGAAGGCAGUUCACUGGACUGCAACUGACACUGAGGCUCGAAAGUGUGGGUAUCAAACAGGAUUAGAUACCCGUGUAGUC